CCUGUCGUGACUGCGGAGGAUCAUUACGAGUUUUGAACGAGUUGUAGCUGGCCUUCCGGGGCAUGUGCACGCUCUGCUCAUCCACUCUACCCCUGUGCACUUACUGUAGGUUGGCGUGGGCUCCUUUGCGGGAGCAUUCUGCCGGCCUAUGUAUACUACAAACACUUUAAAGUAUCAAAAUGUAAACGCGUCUAACGCAUCUAUAAUACAACUUUUAGCAACGGAUCUCUUGGCUCUCGCAUCGAUGAAGAACGCAGCGAAAUGCGAUAAGUAAUGUGAAUUGCAGAAUUCAGUGAAUCAUCGAAUCUUUGAACGCACCUUGCGCUCCUUGGUAUUCCGAGGAGCAUGCCUGUUUGAGUGUCAUGGAAUUCUCAACUUAUAAAUCCUUGUGAUCUAUAAGCUUGGACUUGGAGGCUUGCUGGCCCUUGCGGUCGGCUCCUCUUGAAUGCAUUAGCUCGAUUCCGUACGGAUCGGCUCUCAGUGUGAUAAUUGUCUACGCUGUGACCGUGAAGUGUUUUGGCAAGUUCUAACCGUCCAUUAGGACAACUUUUUUAACAUCUGACCUCAAAUCAGGUAGGACUACCCGCUGAACUUAAGCAUAUCAAAAGGCGGAGAGAAA
Molecule: ribosomal RNA, 619 nt
Filed under: Trametes versicolor
Lineage: Eukaryota; Fungi; Basidiomycota; Agaricomycetes; Polyporales; Polyporaceae
Description: eukaryotic LSU rRNA
Rfam family: 5.8S ribosomal RNA (bases 210-363)
Source: RNAcentral